UGGGGAAUAUUGGACAAUGGGCGAAAGCCUGAUCCAGCCAUGCCGCGUGUGUGAAGAAGGUCUUCGGAUUGUAAAGCACUUUAAGUUGGGAGGAAGGGCAUUAACCUAAUACGUUAGUGUUUUGACGUUACCGACAGAAUAAGCACCGGCUAACUCUGUGCCAGCAGCCGCGGUAAUACAGAGGGUGCAAGCGUUAAUCGGAAUUACUGGGCGUAAAGCGCGCGUAGGUGGUUUGUUAAGUUGGAUGUGAAAUCCCCGGGCUCAACCUGGGAACUGCAUUCAAAACUGACUGACUAGAGUAUGGUAGAGGGUGGUGGAAUUUCCUGUGUAGCGGUGAAAUGCGUAGA
RNAcentral lists this ribosomal RNA (347 nucleotides) under uncultured bacterium. RNAcentral's name for it is "partial 16S ribosomal RNA". It matches the Rfam family "Bacterial small subunit ribosomal RNA", at positions 355 to 694 of the family's 1533-position model. The record is from RNAcentral.